GAUGAACGCUGGCGGCGUGCCUAAUACAUGCAAGUCGAGCGAACAGACGAGGAGCUUGCUCCUCUGACGUUAGCGGCGGACGGGUGAGUAACACGUGGAUAACCUACCUAUAAGACUGGGAUAACUUCGGGAAACCGGAGCUAAUACCGGAUAAUAUAUUGAACCGCGUGGUUCAAUAGUGAAAGACGGUUUUGCUGUCACUUAUAGAUGGAUCCGCGCCGCAUUAGCUAGUUGAUAAGGUAACGGCUUACCAAGGCAACGAUGCGUAGCCGACCUGAGAGGGUGAUCGGCCACACUGGAACUGAGACACGGUCCAGACUCCUACGGGAGGCAGCAGUAGGGAAUCUUCCGCAAUGGGCGAAAGCUUGACGGAGCAACGCCGCGUGAGUGAUGAAGGUCUUCGGAUCGUAAAACUCUGUUAUUAGGGAAGAACAAAUGUGUAAGUAACUAUGCACGUCUUGACGGUACCUAAUCAGAAAGCCACGGCUAACUACGUG
This 497-nucleotide ribosomal RNA is filed under the name uncultured bacterium. Its description in RNAcentral is "partial 16S ribosomal RNA". It matches the Rfam family "Bacterial small subunit ribosomal RNA", at positions 28 to 507 of the family's 1533-position model. The record is from RNAcentral.